RNAcentral lists this non-coding RNA (46 nucleotides) under Trichobilharzia regenti. Lineage: Eukaryota; Metazoa; Platyhelminthes; Trematoda; Strigeidida; Schistosomatidae. The record is from RNAcentral.
GAACUACUGAAGAGUCCCAAACUAGGACGAAACAGCUGUCCAGUAC